Molecule: ribosomal RNA, 471 nt
Filed under: Lactobacillus gasseri
Lineage: Bacteria; Bacillati; Bacillota; Bacilli; Lactobacillales; Lactobacillaceae
Description: bacterial SSU rRNA
Rfam family: Bacterial small subunit ribosomal RNA
Source: RNAcentral
GACGAACGCUGGCGGCGUGCCUAAUACAUGCAAGUCGAGCGAGCUUGCCUAGAUGAAUUUGGUGCUUGCACCAAAUGAAACUAGAUACAAGCGAGCGGCGGACGGGUGAGUAACACGUGGGUAACCUGCCCAAGAGACUGGGAUAACACCUGGAAACAGAUGCUAAUACCGGAUAACAACACUAGACGCAUGUCUAGAGUUUAAAAGAUGGUUCUGCUAUCACUCUUGGAUGGACCUGCGGUGCAUUAGCUAGUUGGUAAGGUAACGGCUUACCAAGGCAAUGAUGCAUAGCCGAGCUGAGAGACUGAUCGGCCACAUUGGGACUGAGACACGGCCCAAACUCCUACGGGAGGCAGCAGUAGGGAAUCUUCCACAAUGGACGCAAGUCUGAUGGAGCAACGCCGCGUGAGUGAAGAAGGGUUUCGGCUCGUAAAGCUCUGUUGGUAGUGAAGAAAGAUAGAGGUAGUAUUC